This is a long non-coding RNA of Tympanuchus pallidicinctus (lesser prairie-chicken), 2988 nucleotides long. RefSeq lists it as uncharacterized. Lineage: Eukaryota; Metazoa; Chordata; Aves; Galliformes; Phasianidae. The transcript has 3 exons. The record is from RefSeq and is a predicted model, not a curated record.
CACUCCCCAUGAGGAGCUGCAGCAGCCUUCAGGCCUCCCCUCAGCUCCUCUGCUCUGGGCUGCACAAACCAACGGAUUUCAGGCAGUCCUCAUGUGUCUUGCCUUCUAAACCUUCCACCAUCUUCAUUGUCCUCCUUUGGACACUUUCUAAUCGUUUUAUGUCCUUCUAAGACUGUGGUACCCAGAACUGUACACAGUUCUCAAGGUGAGGUGUUGAGUGGGUAGCAGUGACCACACACGGGUUCUGCUCUAAUGUACUAGACAUGAAAUUAUAUCCUAGAAAUAAUUAUAAAAAACCAAACACAAUGCCAGAUCUCUUGUAUCAAAUACAAAACCCAGGAGCAAGUAAAGCUGUAAUUAAAAACUGUAAUUAAAAUUAAAAAAUUUUAACAUGACAGAGCACAGUCUUUGGUUGAGAUAAAGCAUCCAUGUCAGCAUGUUAUCUUAAUCAUGCCCUUGCCUGUCUAUAAGAAACAAACAAACAAACAAAGUCUACAUUUUUUAAAGUCCUAUAGCCUUGUUUUUUGGAAGAUGUAUUAAUAUUUCCUGAAUCAAUGUUCUGUCUCCAUGCACAGCCAUUACACACUUCACAGAGAUUCAGCAGCAAUAUUUCUAGAGGAUUGAACAGCUUGUCUCAGGACUUCAGAAAUGAAAGAUAAAAGGAAAGUUUUGAAGGUUCAGUAUUUUAGAGAGCUCAUUUUUUUUAUGCUGUGAUUUUUUUUUUUUUUUUAAUAUAUCAAAAGCAUACUUGACAUUGCCAAGGACAAAGCAAUUUCUUUCACCUGUGUUUUUGCACUCAAGCUUAGUGGAUAUCCAAAGGCAUCCUUUGUAAGCUAUCACUGUGAGUUCAGCUGCAGUUUUGCUCUCCCAUAUUUUACUGGAGAUAUUUGUGGAUGCCCUCUGGAUCUGAGGUAGCAUGGCAUUCACAGAGAAUUCUGUGAAUCCUUCCUCAGGUCUGGGGCUGUAGGGUCACCCCAGGCUAUCAGGUCACACACCAUUGUGCAGAGCUAUGCGGUGUACUGGCAGCAUCAGCUGCUGGCUGAGCACUGAGCUGGCUACGCAUGCAGGGAAGUGCUCUCAGAUAUCUAGUUAGUGCUUGAUCUUUGCUGUUUGGGAUCUCCUGCCUCAGCAGAAAACCUCCACACGGGAGAUAUUGCCUCAAAGGUAUUCUCUUCCUGGAAGUGUUUUAAGUACAGUGGUGGAAUAGUGCCAAAAAUGUAUUUUAGCAAACAAACAAUGCCAGUCACUGGUGUAAGUGAUUAGCUCCAAUUCACGUGCAAAUAGUGACAGCAGAUAAAGGGCCUAUAGGGCAUCCCCACAGAAGAACAGAACACUGGUAGGAAGGAGGAAAACUGCUGCCCGUACACUUGCCAAUAAUGCUUAUUACCCAACACUACAAAUGAGUCAUUUCUUUUCAGACUGCAUUACAGAAUACAGCAAUGAACAGAACAGAAAAUCUCCAGGAGAGAGGCCAAGAGAGGGUGUUCUGCACAGCGAGAUAUUCUUGCUACAAGUAAAAUGUGAUCAAAGGCAUUGAAAUAUCAGCCUAAGGGCUCCCUAAAUCAUCUAGUAGCAGAUUGGAGCAGUGUACCCCACAGAUCCAUGAACUGGUUUGUUUCUGGCAGGAAGAGAUGGAGAUGACAAAACCUUUGAAAGUCAGGAAUGUGUCUGGCUGUGUAUUACUGAACUUUCCUACAAGACUCAAACCUGACUAGUUUGUUCUGCUGUGCACCAAUACAUGCAGCAGUUCUUGCUUGGGAUGCACUGAGAAUCACAGUGUAUCAUCCAAAAAUUCACAGAGUUACAUAUAAACAGAGAUAUUACUGCUUAUUACAGCUCAGCAAAGUGGACUCUUAGACCAGCCAACCAACUUAUAAGACCUGGAUUUCAGGUGCUAAAGGUGAGCACAAGAGCACCUUCCUUGGGAUGAACAUGCUUGCAGAAAGCCUGAUGCCAGAGGUAUCCCAAGCUAUACAAGAGAUAAGGAUCUCCACGAUGGUGUCACUGUCAGAAGCGUCCAUAUGGAAAUGGAAACUUGCUUUUCUUGCUUCUUAAAGACUGUCUAAAAGACAGUUCACAGAACUCAGGGAUUUCCAGAGAGUAGGCUGAAAAUCACUAUUCUGUAACAUUCUUUUGAGUAUUACUCCAUAAAUUAGAUGUACAUCGCAAAUGCAGGGUAUGAUUAUUUCAAGCCUGAAAUAGAAACAACCUAGAACUGGUAUGAGCCAAAAGUCUGAACUGACAAGAAAGCUCACCAAGUUGAUUGGAAAGUGAGAUUACAGGUCCUCACAUACAGAAUUAAAAUGUAGCUCUGUUGAAUUCUACACUUUCAAGUAGCUCGAAGAGAUUUGCAUUUGAUCAGAAGGUCUCUAUUUGAAACUGGAAAUGUACUUCUUGUGCCUUAUCAUGGGCCACUGAUUCACAUUAAAAGAGUGAUCACGUUGACAUUAACAAUAGAGAUGGAAAAUCUUUAUAGCCACUCUUUUUCCUGCUUGGUGUCUAUCUAAGCAAAAUCCGUGGCAAAGGAAAGUUCCACACAAAAGUUUGUAACUGCCUUUGUAUUGGACCUCUCCAGCAGAAAAAGAAACAAGAAACUGUAGACGGUCACAAGUUGGGCUACAGACAAGAUUACCUCCUUGCCUGCUAUCAUGGCAGCUAAUUACUGGCACAACUAAAAUCACAGUAGGAAAAGAAGCGUUCAGUUUUGCAGCAAUAGCAUACCUCUAAGACAAUUUCACAAGUGGAAUUUUGAUAAAGAAGGAACUGAUUCCAGGUGUGCUUCUUUUAAGACCUCAGCUAAUGAGAAACUGUGCUCCUUUCAACAGAUUGCUUCUAACUUUGGUAGUCUGAGAGGAGCUGGUGCUGAGCAAUAUAAAACAUACUUAACAACAUCAUGGUUCUUAUUUAAUAAUAUGCAGGUACAGAAACUGGGGGUAACUGGAAUGUGUAACUAAGUACAUGAAAAUAAACAAAGUUUCUGAAAGCAAA